ACGGGAGGCAGCAGUGGGGAAUAUUGGACAAUGGGGGAAACCCUGAUCCAGCCAUGCCGCGUGUGUGAAGAAGGCCUUUUGGUUGUAAAGCACUUUAAGCAGUGAAGAAGACUCCAUGGUUAAUACCCAUGGACGAUGACAUUAGCUGCAGAAUAAGCACCGGCUAACUCUGUGCCAGCAGCCGCGGUAAUACAGAGGGUGCAAGCGUUAAUCGGAAUUACUGGGCGUAAAGGGAGCGUAGGUGGCUCUAUAAGUCAGAUGUGAAAUCCCCGGGCUUAACCUGGGAACUGCAUCUGAAACUGUAGAGCUAGAGUAUGUGAGAGGAAGGUAGAAUUCCAGGUGUAGCGGUGAAAUGCGUAGAGAUCUGGAGGAAUACCGAUGGCGAAGGCAGCCUUCUGGCAUAAUACUGACACUGAGGCUCGAAAGCGUGGGUAGCAAACAGGAUUAGAUACCCUGGUA
RNAcentral lists this ribosomal RNA (459 nucleotides) under uncultured Psychrobacter sp. RNAcentral describes it as "bacterial SSU rRNA". It matches the Rfam family "Bacterial small subunit ribosomal RNA", at positions 341 to 792 of the family's 1533-position model. Lineage: Bacteria; Pseudomonadati; Pseudomonadota; Gammaproteobacteria; Moraxellales; Moraxellaceae. The record is from RNAcentral.